AAACUUGGAGGCCAGUGAGGACAAAAAUAAAAAGUUAUAAGACUUUGAAGAAUGUGGAUUUUUGGGUCAUCUUUGGCACCCCCUAGAAUGUAAACCGUGGGGUGCAGCGUCAUGAUUUGUACAACUUUGAAUGGCCAUGGGGUAUAGAUUGGCCUGAGCAAAUUUGAUGCCGGUGGAACGAAAGCCUUCGGAGGAGUUAGCAAAAUUCCAAUUUGUCCGGAUCGGCAAAAAAUGCGAAAAAGCCCUUUUAUUGUACAUUUGACAGAUACGCGCGCAUUGAGUUUUUCGUAGAUCUUAUAGAGAUACACGUGAUUGUCAAAUUUUGUGUCAAUAUGACAAAGCGUACAGGCAUGACACUCAACAAUGUGUAUUUUCACCUCAUGGGACAAGAAAAAAUUGACUUUUUUCUCCUGCCAUGGAGGGGCGCUCUUUUGGGGAGAAAAAAUUCCUCCAAAAUUAUGUUGAUGGCUGGACAUUGCAUCAUCCUAGAAAACUUGGAGGCCAGUGAGGACUAAAAUAAAAAGUUAUAAGACUUUUAAGAAUGUGGAUUUUUGGGUUAUUUUUGGCGCCCCCUAGAACCUAAACCGUGGGGUGCAGCGUCAUGAUUUGUACAACUUUGAAUGGCCAUGGGGUGUAGAUUGGCCUGAGCAAAUUUGGUGCCGGUGGAACAAAAGCCUUCGGAGGAGUUAGCGAAAUUCCAAUGUGUGCGGAUCAGCAAAAAAUACAAAAUAGCCCUUUAACCGUACAUUUGACAGGUACGCCCACACUGACUUUUUUGUAGAUCUUAUUGAGAUACACGUGUGUGUCAAUUUUUGUGUCAAUAUGACAAAGCGUACAAACGUGACACUCUAUAGUGUGAAUUUUCACCUUAGGGGGCGCUAUGGAGCCAUUUCACAUUUUAUUGUUUGGGUGACUUCAGAUUAUCAAAUUUUUCACCAGGCCCGGUCUUCCUGCCAAAUUUCAUGAGUUUUCGACGGUGGGAAGUGGGCCAUUUUUCCCUUCAAAGGGGAGGAAAAAUAAGAAAGAAAGAAACAAAGAAGAAUCCAUCAGGAAUAAUAGGGCUCUCGCAGCUGCUUAGGAGCUACGCUCGGGCCCUAAAGAAAGAAGAACCCAUACAGGAAUAAUAGGGCUCUACGCCCGGCUGCUCUGCAGCUGGCUUGGGCCCUAAAGAAUGAAGAAAGAAAAACCCCAUCAAUGACAAGAGGGCCUACGCCCACUAGUGGGCUCGGGCCCUAACUAGGGCCCCGUUGGGGCACUGGCGGGCCCGAGCCCUGUUGCGCCGCCCCCAACGCGAACGCAUCCCCCUCCCGAUCGCAUCACACUCAAGGUCCAAAGAUGGUGUGCGCACCUGUCUGUGGUCAUUUACCAUUAUAAUGAACGGAAGGUGCAGUUUCUAUCAAAACGCUCGCUGCAGACAAACUACAUGUCCUAUUUGAAAAAAGUCUGGACCAUGAGUGAGGGGACAAACACAGCUAGGAUAUAUCCAAAUGGCAAGUUGCUCCUCCUUUCGGUUUUAGCGGGAGAGCAAUACGUUUGAGCCAUUGAGCGAUGGGCAGGAAAAACUUGACUUUUUCUCCUGCCAUGGGGGGUAAGGAAAAUGACCAAUUUUUUUUAUCAAACAUUAUAAAAACUGGUUAUCUCUUGCAGGGCAUCAAAGUCUUGAAUAUGUGAAAGAUAAGUAAUAUGAUUGACUUUGAUGCCUUUUAACUUUUUCUGUAGCAUCAGAUUUAAUAGAAAGCUCCCUUUGGCGCCCCUCAGUGGCCAUAACUACCUUGUCUGCUGUUAAUAGACAACUCCCUUUGGCGCCACUCAGUGGCCAAAAGUACUUUGUCUGCUGUAAAAUCAAAUUGUAUUCAUAUUUUUUCCAGAUUUUUCUUUUUUACAUCUCUUAUUUUACUUCUGCCCUGUUCAAAACUAGCAAAUGUUUCAUUGAAAAUAUUUUUUUAACCCUUUAAGAGCCCAUUCAAGACAUAAAGUCACUAAUAUAGCAAAAAUUUGAGCCUUUUAGCUUUUUCUGUAGCAUCAGAUUUAAUAAACAAAUCCCUUUGGCGCCUCUCAGUGGCCAUGACUACUUUGUCUGCUGUUAAUAGAAAACUCCCUUUGGCGCCACUCAGUGGCCAAAACUACUUUGUCUGCUGUAAUGUAUAUUUGGGUCAUCUUUGGCGCCCCCUAGAACGUAAACCGUGGGGUGCAGCGUCAUGAUUUUGAACUUUGAAUGGCCAUGGGUUGUAGAUUGGCCUGAGCAAAUUUGGUGUCGGUGGGACGAAAGCCUUAGGAGGAGUUAGCAACAUUCCAAUGUGUGCGAAUCGGCAAAAAAUGCAAAAUAGCCCUUUAACCGUACAUUUCACAGAUACGUGCGCAUUGACUUUUUCGUAGAUCUUAUUGAGAUACACGUGUGUGUCAAAUUUUGUGUCAAUAUGACAAAGUGUAUAGGCGUGACACUCAACAAAGUGUAUUUUCACCUUAGUGGACAAGAAAAAAUGGACUUUUUUCUCCUGCCAUGGGGGGGCGCUCUUUUGGGGAGUAAAAAUUCCUUCACACAUGUGUUGAUGGCUGGACAUUGCAUCAUCCUAGAAAACUUGGAGGCCAGUGAGGACAAAAAUAAAAAGUUAGAAGACUUUUAAACAUGUGGAUAUUUGGGUCAUCUUUGGCGCCCCCUAGAACGUAAA
This 2669-nucleotide long non-coding RNA is filed under the name Xyrichtys novacula (pearly razorfish). Lineage: Eukaryota; Metazoa; Chordata; Actinopteri; Labriformes; Labridae. The record is from RNAcentral.